RNAcentral lists this ribosomal RNA (505 nucleotides) under uncultured bacterium. RNAcentral's name for it is "partial 16S ribosomal RNA". It matches the Rfam family "Bacterial small subunit ribosomal RNA", at positions 28 to 507 of the family's 1533-position model. The record is from RNAcentral.
GACGAACGCUGGCGGCGUGCCUAAUACAUGCAAGUAGAACGCACAGUUUAUACCGUAGCUUGCUACACCAUAGACUGUGAGUUGCGAACGGGUGAGUAACGCGUAGGUAACCUGCCUGGUAGCGGGGGAUAACUAUUGGUAACGAUAGCUAAUACCGCAUAAUAUUGAUUAUUGCAUGAUAAUUAAUUGAAAGGUGCAAUUGCACCACUACCAGAUGGACCUGCGUUGUAUUAGCUAGUAGGUGAGGUAACGGCUCACCUAGGCGACGAUACAUAGCCGACCUGAGAGGGUGAUCGGCCACACUGGGACUGAGACACGGCCCAGACUCCUACGGGAGGCAGCAGUAGGGAAUCUUCGGCAAUGGACGAAAGUCUGACCGAGCAACGCCGCGUGAGUGAAGAAGGUUUUCGGAUCGUAAAGCUCUGUUGUAAGAGAAGAACGGGUGUGAGAGUGGAAAGUUCACACUGUGACGGUAUCUUACCAGAAAGGGACGGCUAACUACGUG